Molecule: ribosomal RNA, 468 nt
Filed under: uncultured bacterium
Lineage: Bacteria
Description: partial 16S ribosomal RNA
Rfam family: Bacterial small subunit ribosomal RNA
Source: RNAcentral
GACGAACGCUGGCGGCGUGCUUAACACAUGCAAGUCGAACGGAAAGGCCCUGCUUUCGUCGGGUGCUCGAGUGGCGAACGGGUGAGUAACACGUGAGUAUCCUGCCCUGGACUUUGGGAUAACUUCAGGCAACUGGGGCUAAUACCGGCUACGAGCUCCUGCUGCAUGGUGGGGGUUGGAAAGUUUCGGCGGAGGGGGAUGGACGUGCGGGUUAUCAGCUUGUUGGUGGGGUAGUGGCUUACCAAGGCAUUGACGGGUAGCCGGCCUGGGAGGGUGAACGGCGACAUUGGGCCUGAGAGACGGCCCAGAGUCCUACGGGAGGCAGCAGGGGGGAAUAUUGCACAGUGGGCGGAAGCCUGAUGCAGCAACGCCGCGUGCGGGAUGACGGCCUUCGGGUUGUAAACCGCUUUCGCCUGUGACGAAGCGUGAGUGACGGUAAUGGGUAAAGAAGCACCGGCUAACUACGUG